UGGAUUAGCGGCGGACGGGUGAGUAACACGUGAGUAACCUGCCUUAGACAUUGGGAUAGCCUCUGGAAACCGGGAUUAAUACCAAAUAAAAUCAUAAUGACACAUGUCAUAACGAUCAAAACUCCGGUGGUCUAAGAUGGACUCGCGUCCCAUUAGCUAGUUGGUAGAGUAAAAGCCUACCAAGGCGACGAUGGGUAGCCGGCCUGAGAGGGUGAACGGCCACAUUGGAACUGAGAAACGGUCCAA
This 246-nucleotide ribosomal RNA is filed under the name uncultured Eubacteriales bacterium. RNAcentral describes it as "uncultured Clostridiales bacterium partial 16S ribosomal RNA". It matches the Rfam family "Bacterial small subunit ribosomal RNA", at positions 88 to 334 of the family's 1533-position model. Lineage: Bacteria; Bacillati; Bacillota; Clostridia; Eubacteriales. The record is from RNAcentral.